RNAcentral lists this transfer RNA (73 nucleotides) under Hippocampus sindonis (Dhiho's seahorse). Its description in RNAcentral is "tRNA-Leu". It matches the Rfam family "tRNA". Rfam says of the family: Transfer RNA (tRNA) molecules are approximately 80 nucleotides in length. Lineage: Eukaryota; Metazoa; Chordata; Actinopteri; Syngnathiformes; Syngnathidae. The record is from RNAcentral.
ACUUCUGAAGGAUGUUAGCUAACCCGUUGGUCUUAGAAACCAAAAACCCUUGGUGCAAAUCCAAGCAGCAGUU